GGUGACCAAAACUGAGUUGGAAGUAGUUGUCAUCAGCCUCAUCUUCAGAUUCAUCAUCAUUUCUUCGACUAUAUCUUCUUCCUCUACCAUGUGCAACCAUCCAAUUCCUCCCACCUCCUCUUCUUCCAUCACUAUCUUCUCUAUCUCCACUAUGGUUGCUUGCACCAUGAUGAGGUGGACGAUGCCUUCUGAUUUCAGUCAUAAGAUUCUAAAGAUCUUGUGUCAACCUAUCUUGCUUUUCUUCCAUGCUUUGUCGGAGUUUAUUAAAUUGUGCUAUGGUAACACGAUCUUUGAUGUCCACUUGACCCAUCUUCCUGUAAGGUUAGCUAAAUACGAAUAAUUUAUAUUUGUGGAAUAUAAAAAUUUGGUGGCUCUCACAACUCACCUCUCUAACCACCAAAGCUCUUAUGAAUUCCUCUGCUGUAG
Molecule: long non-coding RNA, 426 nt
Filed under: Sorghum bicolor (sorghum)
Lineage: Eukaryota; Viridiplantae; Streptophyta; Magnoliopsida; Poales; Poaceae
Description: long non-coding RNA (SBIC_LNC008257)
Source: RNAcentral